GCCGCCGUACCCUGACUGUGCUAAGGUAGCGUGAUUCUUGUUUUCUUAAUUAGAAAUCUGUUCAAAGAAUGAAAUGAAGAGAAUCUAUUGUUUCCAUAUGAAGUGAACUUAAAUUGUUAGUGAAAAUUCUGACAAGCGUUUAAAAGACGAGAAGACCCCACAAAACUUAAUUUGUUUAAAUGGGGACUUUAGAGUAUAAUAAUAGACCUAUUUCUAUAAUAUUAGCGAAGCUACUUUGGGGAUAACAGGGUAAAAUAUUUAGAGAGUUCAUAUCGAUAAAUAUAUCUACUACCUCGAUGUUGGAUUAUCUUUUCAUAUAUAUUGCAGCAGUAUAUAUUGUUAGUCUGUUCGACUAUUAAAAAGUUACGUGAUCUGAGUUC
RNAcentral lists this ribosomal RNA (380 nucleotides) under Brachionus plicatilis. Its description in RNAcentral is "partial 16S ribosomal RNA". It matches the Rfam family "Bacterial large subunit ribosomal RNA", at positions 1930 to 2612 of the family's 2925-position model. Lineage: Eukaryota; Metazoa; Rotifera; Eurotatoria; Ploima; Brachionidae. The record is from RNAcentral.